Belonocnema kinseyi is the source of this 3033-nucleotide long non-coding RNA. RefSeq lists it as uncharacterized. The transcript is spliced from 2 exons. Lineage: Eukaryota; Metazoa; Arthropoda; Insecta; Hymenoptera; Cynipidae. The record is from RefSeq and is a predicted model, not a curated record.
UUAUCAUGUAUUUUUGAUGUCACGUAACCAAUAUCUGCUUCUGUUUCUUGUAGGUUCGAGAGUUUAAUUAUGGAAUGGUUUAGCAAUUCCCUACCCAGGGGUGUAGUAAACACCCCAUCGCAUGACACGAAAUUUAAGAUAUUAUCAUCUCUCAUCCAAAGUUUAUCUCGACUCAACUGAAAUAACGGAUUAAAACGUCAUCAUCAGAAUCUUCAGCAAAAAACUCAACAUCGGUACUUCCUUGAAGACAGGUGACCAUAGGAGGCAACCUUCUUCUAAACUCAACAUCCGUACUUCCUUGAAGACAGGUGCCCAUAGGACGCAACCUUCUUCUUAGGGACAGGAUUCCACAGUAAGCGCUACCUUCCCAAAUCGGAAUGGAAGAGCCGACGCCAAAACUGGCCAUCUCUCUCCCCCUUCCGUUGUGGUCUAACAAAAGCUCUGCGGGUACGUUCUCAUCUUCCGCGUGGCCAGCUGGUCCACCAAAUACCCCCUUUGGAAGACAGGUGCCGAUAGGACGCAACCUUCUUCCCGGGGACCGUGCCUUCUCCAUCGAGGACACCUCCCCCUGGUACCGGACACCACAGUAAGCGGUUCCUUUCCUUUGGGACAGGCAACUAUAGUAAGCAGUUCCUUCCCUUCUCGAAGUGGAAGAGCAGACGCCAAAGCUGGCCAUCUCUCUUCCCAUUCCGUCAGCCUCUUUUUCAUUCAAGCGCUUUCCCCGGAGAAUUUUGAUCUUCUAGUAAUUCGAUCAUGUUAGCUAAAAGCUGACUAGGCCGAGCACCGAAUUCGCUAACAUUUUCUUUUUCGCGCUGGGCUAAUUUAGAAAGAGCCGGAUUAAGCUGGUUCAAGGUUCGACGCUCAGCAUAAGUAACUUUAAGAUGUUUCAAGCGAUCCUCUAGUGAAUUUACAUCACGAUCUGCAAGGGCAUUGUACGCAGCUCCUACUACCCUAGAACGCACUACCAAAAAUAAAUGAUUACGAUCUUCGGCUGCAAUAGAAUUUCUCGCGAAAAUGCAAUCCUUUAUAAAACGGCCCACUGACAUGUUUUCUCCGUCAAAUUUUGCUGGAAUAAAUGUGAGAGCGGUUUUGAACGGAAUUGGUUUCCCUGGUUCCUUAUCCGGGAGCGCAAAGAUACCGGAAAUACUUGCACUCGAAGAAGGUUCUGAGCAAGAAAAGCGUGAAGUGUUUGAGCGGGCAGGGGCACGAUAAACUGUUAAUGGAUUCCGUGCUGCGAUUUCUGAAUCUAAAUUUUCCAUAUUUUUUCUUAAAUUAACCUCCCUUUCUAAGUGAAAAUCAACAACAGAAUCAGCUUGCUCUAUUUCUUCCUCAUACUCUAGGUCAAAAUUAUCCCUAAUUGCUUGAGUGGAACCAGUGGGACGACCACGUGCGGUCCCCACUCCACGACUGCCAACUGACAGAUAGCUAGUUGCACCUCGUUUCUGCCCUGUCCCUCGCGAACUUUUCCCUGAUUAUGCACCUACAACCCUAGCAUCACCAGCUUUCUCUGUGAUUACCACAGCGCUAGCUCCUCGGCCACCCCUUGCAGCUUUGCUCCCUUUACUUCGCGUACGCAUUUUGAAUGAAAUGUUUGUUGACUCAACUGUUAAUAAGUAGGUAAAUAUCACCUCAAAAUAAUAAAUAUAAAUACAAAUAUUAAUAUUAUUAUUUUUUUCAGAUUUUACAGAACAACUAGAUUGCAAAUUUUCGAAAAAAUGUCUAACCCGAGAUUGGCUUCGCAACAGAACAAUAUAAAAGGGCAAAUCGACUUACUACUUCUGAUGGUCCAGGGUAUAAUCUAACCGGCAGCUCUGACCAAAAGGUCAGUUCUAAAAAAAAUGGUCAGUUCUAAAACUUGAUUAUGGGCAGUGCAAAAAUACAUUUCAAAAGUUGAUAGAGGGAGAAAAGAGAGAAAAAUUGGAGCACCUGCUACCGAAGCGCAGUCACAACGAUGUUGUUCAAAUUUAAACGAUAUGUUAGCACAUAACGGCCAUAAAAAGUGAGUUGAUUAAGUGAUUGAUUACGGCUAAAAUUUGUUCUAGGGAUGUACUACAAACACUACCAUGCGCAGAAAAAUCGGAUUUUCAAAUCCUUUUUUUUAUCUUUUUUUUAGUUUUCGUAUAAUAGGGAUUCGGUCAGUUCUAAAUGAGGCUUAGAUUAACAUUUUCACCGAUUUCACAAGAAAAUAAAAUCACCAACACUCGCGAAUCAGCCUCUUCGGAUGCCUAAAUUCCAGACUCCUUCGUAAGAUGUCCUUUUCCAGAAGAUUGCCGAUAAGCCUCGUCCUUGAAUGUCCUGUUCUUCUCCUUGUGCUGUCCUUCUAUUUUAGGUAUAUAUAUAAUUUUUCUUCUUCUUAGCCUGCAGUGAUCUAGGGGGAUGACUACGGGUCCCUUCAGAUUACUGUCUGCGAUCCCGGUACCUUUUGAUUGUACCCUAUGCCUCCAGGUCUAAAAACCCGUACAAAAACCUUGAGGGGGUGUCGCGGCUUUCAUUCCUCUUCCUUCAAUGAUCCACAUCACACGUCUUCUUCCGGUUCCCAAGUCGUCACACGUCUUCUUCACGACCUUUCCUAUCUUCUUCGGCUUUUUGACCUCUUUCUUGACGACUGAAGUCGAAGCUGGGUCGAUAGAUAGGAAAUAACAGUCUUCUUCUUUCCUCUUGUCCAAAAUGUCUUGAAAAACUGUCCUUUCGAAAAUUUUCGAAUAUCCAUUUAAAAAUCUUUUAUUUUUAUUUCAAAUAUCCUUGGAUAAUUUCAAAAAUGUCCUUAGAGAAUUUGGAAUGUCCUGGUGGGUAGUGAACUUCAGAAUCCUUCUUCUUUUAUACCUAUCACUCACUAAAAUUAUCACUCACUCAACUUAGUUUAUUUCACUCACUGUUUAUACAGUUCAAACACUUGUCUUUUUAUUUUCAAGGGAUUCCACAGCGAAAAGUUUGUGGAAUCCCACUUCUGACACCAUGUAACAAGCCGACAGUCUUUUACCGCGCGAAAGUUCAAAUAUUUUAGAUUUAAUAAGAGAAUAAUUAAUAAAAGUA